AGGUGUUUGUUAUAGCAAACCCACCAGAUUGUAUAUAAGGUGUAUUCUUCAAUAUUGAAUUAAUGAAGAUCACUCUUUAUUUUUCCACAUGGUAUCAGAGCAAAUGAGCAUUAACGAGACUGAUUUCAUGGCUUCCUCUUUUGCCAUGACUUUUUCUUCUCCAUCUUCAUCUUCAUCUUCAUCUUCUUCCUCCAUUCCCUCCAAUUUAGCUUUGCUCAUCUCGAAUUUAUCAUAUUUUGUGACAAUCAAAUUGGAUUCAUCCAAUUUCUUGAUCUGGAAAAGUCAAUUCUAGAACAAUUUACGAGCCACGUAACUUCUUGGCUAUGUUGAUGGUUCUAGGGCUUGUCCACCAAUAAAGAUCAAAGAUUCAUCUGUUUCUGAGAUUGUUAAUCUAGAUCGAGUGCAGUGGGAGGUAAUCGAUGCACACUUGCUUAGUUACAUUACAACAACUUUAUCUCCACUGAUCUACUCCACUGUUCUUCAUCAUCAACAUUGUGCUAAUGUUCGGAAUGCUUUAAUCAAGCAAUUUAUAACACUUUCACGAUCACACAUUCGUCAACUUAAAAAUAAGUUGAAAAAUGUGAUCAAAAAGUUGAAUCUAUGGAUGAGUAUUUGAUGAAGAUUAAAGAUUUGGCUACUCAAUUAGCUCUUGCAUCUACAGUAAUUGAAGAUGAAGAUUUGGUGUUAAUCACACUCAAUGGUCUCCCUGAAGAAUCUGACUCUUUCAAGACUAUAAUUAGAGCUUGAUCUAAGUCCAUCUCAAUAAAGGAAUUAUGUUCUCUUCUUUGCUCAAAGGCUAAUCAUGUCGAGAUGAAAAACAAGAAAUCCAAUCCGACUGAACAUCCUAAUGUUGCAUUCUCUGUUACACGAGGUUCAACUUCAUCAUCUUCUAACUUUAGCUAUUCUAGAGGUCAUUCCCCUAAUUACUGAAGAUGAACUUCAUAUUAGAAUCGUGGCAGAGGAGGUAGAUUUUCUACUCAAAGUCACGGACAUAAAAGAUUUUUUUCAAAGAGAAAAGGUCAAUCUGGCCUAAUUAGCCAAAUUUGUGGUGUUUCUGGACAUGUCGCAUUCGAUUGUUGGUUUCGAAUGGAUUCACAAUUUCAGCCACAAUCUUCUUCUACUCACUCUUCUUCUCAAAAUUCUAGGGCAUUUGUGGCUUCAUCUUCUUCUUCCCAACCUUCUUCUUCUUCCACUCCUUAGUAUUUGGACUCCGCUACUACAGAUCAUAUUACUAAUGAUCUCCAGAAUUUUGAGUGUGUUUCAGCCAUAUCCUGGUUCAAAAUAGAUCACUAUAGGCAAUGGUUAACAAAUUUCUAUUCAACAUACUAGUAAGGGCAUAAUUCCUACUCCUACUUUUGCCAUUUCUUUCAACAAGAUUUUACACUCUUCUUUUAUUCCUUCUAAUCCGCUUUCAGUUCAUCAAUUAGCUAAAGAUGAUAAUUGUAUUAUCAUAUUUGAUUCUUCUCACUUUGUGAUUCAAGACAAGUACUCGAAGAAAAUUCUUCACAAGGAUACUAAUACUAAUGGUCUUUACCAUUUUCAUUCAUCUGCUAAUGUUGUUUCUUCGCUAGCAUCUUCUCCAUGUGCAUCUCAAGUUCACUUCAUGCUACUAAUAAAACUGUUUCUGCAGAUAUAUGGCAUAAGAGAUUGGGUCACCCUUCUACACAGAAAUUUUCUCAUCAAAAGAGAAAUAUUUCUUGUGUAUUUUCUACAUUUCCUAGUUCUACUUGUACUGAUUGUUGUGUAUCAAAGAGUCAUAGAUUACCUUUUCACUUGUCCAAUUCCACUGUUAAUAAACGAUUUCUUUUUAUACACAGUGACAUUUGGGGUCUGUUCAAUAAAUCUACUUCUAGUUUCAAGUAUUAUGUGCUUUUGUGGAUGAUUUUAAUAGAUUUACCUGGUUAUAUCAUUUAGUCUACAAAAGUGAAGUUUUUGCCAAGUUUUUAGAGUUCAAAAAAUAUGUUGAAAAACAGUUUACUACUUAUUUUGCAAGUUUUUCGAACUGAUGGUGGGACUGAAUAUUUCAGUAAGAAAAUGCAUGAUUUUUUGGUCACUCAUGGCAUUGUUCAUCAGUUUUCUUGUCCAUACACAUCUGCUCAAAAUGGUGUUGCCGAAAGAAAACACAAACACAUUAUGGAAACUAUAAUAACUUUAAUUCAUCAUUUAUCUCUUCCUCUUCAUUAUUGGUUUGAGGCUAUUGCUACUGUUACUUUUCUCAUUAAUCGGACGCCUUCUUCUGUUCUUCAUAAUAAAUCUCCUUUUGAGGUGUUUUUUUAUUGUGUUCCAAAUUAUUCAUUUUUUAGAAUUUUUGGGUGUCAAUGCUUCCCAUGGCUUAGGUCUUAUGGGUCUUCAAAGUUUCAUCCUCGAUCUCUCUUAUGUCUUUUUAGGUUAUCACCCAUUUGCUAAGGGGUACCAGUGUUUUGAUCCUCGCACUGGGAAAGUUUAUUUGUCUCGCUCUGUUGUUUUCAACGAAUCAAUUUUUCCUUUUAAUUCUCUUUCUUGUAGUUCUUCUGUCACUUCUUUACCAUCUCUACACUCUUUUCUUUUGGUCUAGUUGUGCUCCUCCUCCACCUAUGUCUUCACAAGUUCUAGUUUUAGCCCCCAGACCAUCUCAGUCAUGUUCAGACCAUGCCUCAGCUCAGAAUUCCCUGUCUGCUGCAGUCCUAUCAGCCUCACUACCUGAACUGCAGCCUGAUUUGUUGCAUUCCUCUAUUUUGCGGCCUGCAUUGUUGCACCUACAUCCUUAAGUACACUUGCCUCUAUUGCCCCUACUACAUUGGCUACACAAACUGUUGCACCUGAUGUUUUAGCUACACAUCUUGCUUCUCAGCUACCAUAUCAGCCUACUUCUAUUAUGUCUUGUCCUCUUAUUCCUAUUCAAUCCAUUACUAUUCAAUCACCUCAUUUACCCCUACGUUCAUCUAACCGAAUCAUUUGAUUACCAGAUCCAAAUCUACAUCAUCUGCCUCUAUUAAUGUGGUUUUUCCUGCUUUAUACACAGAUUCUAAGCCACCUAACUGCAAGUUUGCCCUGUCUCCUUCACUUUAGCACAAAGCCAUGGCUAAAGAAUUUACUACUUUGCACAAACAGAGUACUCGGUCUUUGGUUUCAUUACCCCCUGGCAAAAAUGCAAUAGGAUGUAAGUGGAUUUUUAAGCUUAAAAGAAAUUCUAAUGGUUCUAUUGAUCACUAUAAAGCUCGAUUGGUUGCUAAAGGGUAUUUACAAGAAGAGGGUAUUGAUUUCCAAGAGACUUUUAGUUUCAGUCCCGUAGCUAAGCUUCCAACUAUUCUGAUUUUGCUAUGUCUUGCUCUUCAUCGCUAUUGGUCUUUAAAGUAGUUGGACAUCUCCAAUGCCUUUCUUUAUGGAAAACUUGAGGAAGAGGUAUAUAUUCUUCAACCUCCAGGGUUUGUUGAUUUCUCCAAACCUUCAGGUGUGUGCAAGCUCCAUAAAGGCAUUAUAUAGGCUUAAACAAGCUCGCCGUGCAUGGUAUUCUACUUUUUCUGUGUUUUUUCUUUUUCAAGGUUUUCAUAACAGUCACUGUGAUACGUCUCUUUUUAUUCAUAAGAUUUCCACUUCCAUCACCUAUUUUGUGGUUUAUGUAGAUGAUAUUCUGUUGACUGGUAGUGAUCCAUCUUUUCUUUAGUCCUUAAUUCAUCAAAUGCACUAAGCAUUUUUCAUGAAAGAGUUGGGUAAUCUCUCAUAUUUUCUUGGCAUAUCCGUGUAAACAUCUGGGAUUCCCUAUUUUCUUUCUCAACAAAAGUAUGUUCAAGAAAUUAUUUUUUGUCAGUGAGACUAGCCUUAUGAAUAAUUUCUUGAGCAUACUUUUGUUGAGAAAGAAAAUAGGAAGACCCAGAUGUUUGCAUCAAUAUGCCAAGAAAAUAUGAGAGAUUACCCAACUCUUUCAUGAAAUAUGCUAAGGGCAUUUGAUGAAUUAAGGACUAAAGAAAAGAUAGAUCACUACCAGUCAACAAAAUAUCAUCCACAUAAAUCACAAGAUAGGUGUAACGGCUCCACCACGUAUAAUGAUUAGAACUUAAUUAAUUAAAGAGAUUUGAAAUUUAAUUGCCAUUUGUUAUAAUUUAAUAUGGGAUUCACGAAAAUUAUGGAGUUUGAUUUGUAUAUGAUUUUAUUAAAAAUUCAUUUUGAAAUUAGAAAUUAAGGGUCCAAGUGGCUUAAGGAAGUGAAGUUAAGAAGUUGAAUCAAUUUAAUCUUAAUUACAGACUCAUUUGGGAGUUUAAUUAAAUUUUCGAUUCAGUUUAGUGAAAUUGAGAUUCGAUUAAUUAGAUCUUAAUUGGAGUUAAUCAAGUCAAUUAAAUUAUCAAGAUUGAGAAUUGUGAUUAUUACGAAUUAAAUUUAUUUAUGGGGUGUCCAAUUUGAAUAUGUAACUUGACGGAAAUUUGGAGUCUGGUCAGAAAUUGAAGGCCUUAAUGAUUUAAGGAACUGGUAUUGAAGAUGAAAAUAAGUUUAAUUUAAUAUUUGGAGUCUUUUAGAAGUCUGACUAAAAAUCUGAUUCAGAAUGAUAAAAUUAAAUAAAAUUAGUUGGGCCUUAAUGGAAGUUAAAUUAGACUAAUUAAAUUAUGUGGGAUUUGUGAUUAGUUAUGAUUAAUUAAUUACGUAUUAACCACGAUUUAUUAAGACGAAGUGUUGCUUAAUUAAAAUUUAUCCUAAGCAUAAAUUGCCUUAAGGAACAAACUAGAAUUGUGGGUGUGGGUGCACUUAGAAAUUUAGGUGGGUGUACUGAGAAAUCUGGUUGUGAUUUGUAUGUGUGUGUGUGUGUGUGUGUGUGUGUGUGUGUAUGUACGUGUAAUGUGAAGGCAGCACAUGAUAUAUAUAUAAAUAUAUUAAUAUAUGAGUUCUUGUAUUGAAAAGAGAUUGAGAACAAAAAAAAGGUAUGGCUUCAUUUUUGUUCUCCGCAAACCCGUGAGAGAGAGAGGGGGGGAAGGAAGCAAUUUCAGCUCAAGAAGAAGGAAAAAUAAGAGAAGAAAAGCUAGGAGGAACGAGGGAAUUAGAAGGGAAUCAACUAAACUCUUUGAGAUUAAAGUUUAAGGUGGGCAUCUGAGGCCUUAUAUCGACUUAACCCACUGUGUCCAGGCACCGGACCGGAGCUAGAAGCGUUAAGUUAAACUCAUGUUUUGUCCAGCCAACCGUUGUGCCUCACUUCGAGGUUCCGAGCCUUCUCGAGCCAAGGCUGUUUUGGGGGUGUUUCAGAUUCACCCUUUUUGUCUCUGUUAUGUAUCGACUGAUUAAGACUUGAUUGUAUAGUUAUGGUAAAAGGACUAGGUCCCUAACUCGUAUGCUAUGUGUAUAUGUAUAUGGUUGGAUAUGGUUAUGUCCACAAAAGUCUUUUUCCAUUCAGAUUUUCACAACUCAUUGGACAUCUUUUAUUUACUGUUUGGCUUCCGCCAGCCCAUUACUCUGUACUAUUGUCAUUACUGUUAAGCAGGCCUUUGGUAAUCAUGGAUUACUAGCCGGUUACGAUGUUAAAC
Camellia sinensis is the source of this 5486-nucleotide non-coding RNA. The record is from RefSeq and is a predicted model, not a curated record. Lineage: Eukaryota; Viridiplantae; Streptophyta; Magnoliopsida; Ericales; Theaceae.